Molecule: ribosomal RNA, 354 nt
Filed under: Mesomycoplasma ovipneumoniae
Lineage: Bacteria; Bacillati; Mycoplasmatota; Mycoplasmoidales; Metamycoplasmataceae
Description: Mycoplasma ovipneumoniae partial 16S ribosomal RNA
Rfam family: Bacterial small subunit ribosomal RNA
Source: RNAcentral
UGAACGGAAUAUGUUAGCUUGCUAAUAUAUUUAGUAGCAAAUGGGUGAGUAACACGUACCUAACCUACCUUUUGGACCGGGAUAACUAUUGGAAACAGCAGCUAAUACCGGAUAUAAUAAAAAAAUGCAUGUUUUUUUAUCAAAAGAAGCCUUUAAAGCUUCACCAAAAAAUGGGGGUGCGCAACAUUAGUUAGUUGGUAGGGUAAAGGCCCACCAAGACGAUGAUGUUUAGCGGGGCCAAGAGGCUGUACCGCCACACUGGGAUUGAGAUACGGCCCAGACUCCUACGGGAGGCAGCAGUAAGGAAUAUUCCACAAUGAGCGAAAGCUUGAUGGAGCGACACAGAGUGCAGGA